AGCCAGCAUGGGAGGCAGGCAUGCUAACGAGGAGGCUAUAGCCAUUAGCUUCAGUCGCUAGUGCGCCUCUUGAGGCCAGGGGAGUGAGGUUUUGCACAUACUGCACAGCUAUCACUUACCAGCUGGCUCCUGUUACAAAGGCAGCAUAAAAGUAAUCCAUACGACUCCAGUGGUUUAAUCUAUAUAUGAUAGAUGUGGGUGAGAAAUAUUGAAGUCCUUUUUUACUAUAAAUUCUCCUUCCUGCUCAGUCAAUCUCCACUUUCACUUUCACAUUGUUCUUCUUGUGUUUUUGGUGAUUCACAAUUCUUCAUGCACGUUGCCCCCUACUGGGCAGGGAGAAGAAGUUAUAGGAAAAAGAGGACAUGACUGCAACGUGAUAAUGGGCCGGGUCAAGUGCAAUUUAAUUCUGAGGCUCUUCUCUGGUUAUUCCACCAUUUGCGUCCUAUUAUAUAGUCCAUUCUCUCAAACACCAGCGAUAUAAACAAACACAACACAUUCAUAAGAAGUUGGUAUAGUGAAUGAACUGUAUGCAAUGAAUUGGAAGAAUAGAAAAUGUACAUUAACUGCAUCCUUGAUGAAUGUCAGUAUAUUUCUAUGACAGUGACACGCUCCUUUAAUACGCAUAGAAAACGUGAUUCUCUUCUGAACUUGGAUCAGUUAAAUUAUAGAGAAUGUAAGUUUUAUUAAUCAUUUUCAUCACAAAUCAUGGCUACUAUAAACAGUGAUUGACAGGGACAUUAUUUGAUGUUCUGCUAUAUUUCAGAGUUUGGACAUGAACUUUAUUACCACCUGCUGCUGGAAUCUCCAAACUGCAAAUGCAGGAACUGAGUUUAAACUUUGUGCUGAAAACAGACGUUCUUCUGAAAUGUCUUAUUUCUCUUCAUUAACAUACAAUACACACACAGACAGCGCAAACACUCCCACACACGCCCACUUGUGCUUUGCACUGGCAUGAAAAUUGGAUUUAGAAUUAGCGCUCUCACAAAAGUGAGAUAAGACGUAGUGACGCUGAGCCCUUCGUAUCUGAAACAGAAUCUGUAAAAUGGUCUGCCAGUUUCAGGAUGAAAAGAGAAAACGAUUUGUUCUGAAUUCAUCUUGUGUUUCUGCAGGCGGUGUAUCACAAUGUUAAAGCGGCGUCUCUCAAACAGCAGCUUGAGAACAUCAGCAUCUCGUCUGAGAAAGUGGAAGUGUUCAGUCAUGUUUGGUCUUCUGCCAGUCCAGAUGUGAUGGAGAAGAUCAGACAGAACAUAUUCUCUCCUCAGAAGUUGGAUCACAUCGGGUGGCAGUUGAAUCUGCAGAUGUCUCGGUCCGAUCAGACCCGUUUGAAAGCACCACACGCAGUUCUUGAUCUGGGGCUCCGAGCGGAGGAUGAUUCACAGAAUCAGUCGGUUUCUGCUCGGUUGAUCAACAGAAGUGCUGAAUCUCCUUUGUGUCUGUUGCAAAAUUUACUGAGAAACUGUUGUGAAAAAAAGUGAGUUAAUUUCAGUGAGUAUGUGUACACCUCAGUUGCUAUAAUUAAAUGUUAUUAACUUAUACGAUAUUGAGUAUUUACAGUAUAUAUCAGCAGUAUAUGAAGCUUUUUUUAGUCAUCAGUAGGUCUGCACGAUUAUGACAAUAUCCAUAAUCGCAGAUUGUUUCCCUUGAUAUUGUAAUUGCAUUUAAUUUUGAUUAAUAGAAUUGUCAUUAACGGAUUUAUUUUGCGUGUAUCAUCUGCAUGCUGUAUUCUUUAUGUAUUCUUUCUCAAGCUGAGAACUGUGUUCCUGAAUAACUUUAUUUCCAUUUUAUCCAUCAGUAGAUCAAGACUAGAUCCCACAUGGUGCUCUUAGCAAUAUAAGACACAAACCUAUUAUUGAGAUUUGGAAUAAAUUAUACACAGAAGCGAGCAACAGAUUUGUGUGUGAUAUGAUUACACCACUCAACUGCUGCACAAACACAAGAACAUGAAACAUUUUGACACAACAGGAGCAGACUUUUAUUGACCGCUGGAUAAUUGUGGCAGCUGUAAUUGUAAUCUCGAUUCUCAGUCUCAUUUAUUUGAUUAAUAGUGCAGCCCUAGUUAUCAGCCACUGAAAUAUCCAUUUCUAUCAAGCAUUACAGAUUAAUACAACACUUGAAAAUGAAAUGCAUUACCACCCACAAUCAUUCCAUACAUUCGUUUGUGUGCUGAGAGUCUGUAUGGUGCAAGUGUGUCUUUACUCGGAGGGUUUAGAGGAAGUCUUGGGAAACUAUGUACACAAGCAGCUGAGAAGCAUUUGAUUAUUGUCCUCUUUUAAUAGAGUUUAAAAGUAAAUCCAGUGACAGAUCUGCUGUGAUUCCUGUGUGUGUCGUGUGGUGUCGCUGUUGCUGCAUGUACAGUGUGUGUGUGUGUGUGUGUAUGUGUGUGUGUGUUCAGAUGAUCUGAAGCUUCAGACGAAUCCCUGUGAGCGAGUUCUGCUGCUGUUUGAACUCCUGCUGUGAGAAUGAUUCAUUUUCUGCAGAGAAUCUGACAAUGUGGUCUUUAAAUGGACAUUUUAAAAGUCAAAGAUUCUCACAUUCUCCGUGUAGAAUCAAAUGUGUCAUUAUGCUAAUAUCAUCUAUCAUCAUGAUGAUACAUUAUAACAACUAUUUCACACCUUAUUUUCUAUUAGCACUAUUAACAUAAACAACAACGAUACAUUUGACUCCUCAGAAGAAUUUGGUACAAUCAUGAAUAUCUCAAUCUCUUUUUAAUAAAUGCUCAGGAUGCUGGGUCUUACACAGGAAAGAUUGAUUUAAUUUACUUCAAGGCAUGUAUAUACUGUAUAUAAUACAUACAGAUUGCAAUCAGUUGUAUGUAAUCAUCAUUAUUUUAUAGUUAUAUUUAAAGUAUAUAAAACAUUAAAACCCAUUAUCAACACCCAGUUGCAUGUGAUAUAAAUCAUUACUGGAAAAGCUUUAUAAUUUAUUAGUUAUGUUUGAAAGAUCUAAUGGAUGUGGUCUUGUGUUUGUUCAAAGAUUCUGCUGGUCAUUCUGAUGAACGUUUCAGAUGUUUUUGAAAGAUUGUGGAUGUUGGAGGUCUUGAUUUCAUCUGUCAGUUACACUGUGAUAAAUGAGAUGAUAAUGAUAUGUUUUAUAUCAAUGGUGUGUUUGCUAUUGAUGAACU
Long non-coding RNA from Myxocyprinus asiaticus (Chinese sucker), 3121 nucleotides. RefSeq lists it as uncharacterized. The record is from RefSeq and is a predicted model, not a curated record. The transcript is spliced from 3 exons. Lineage: Eukaryota; Metazoa; Chordata; Actinopteri; Cypriniformes; Catostomidae.